Molecule: ribosomal RNA, 201 nt
Filed under: uncultured bacterium
Lineage: Bacteria
Description: partial 16S ribosomal RNA
Rfam family: Bacterial small subunit ribosomal RNA
Source: RNAcentral
ACGCUCGACACCUACGGGAGGCAGCAGGUGGGGGAUAUUGCACAAUGGGGGAAACCCUGAUGCAGCAACGCCGCGUGAGGGAAGAAGGUUUUCGGAUUGUAAACCUCUGUCUUUGGUGAAGAAGAAAGUGACGGUAACCAAGGAGGAAGCCACGGCUAACUACGUGCCACAGCCGCGGUAAUCUGAGCGGGCUGGCAAGGC